Falco peregrinus (peregrine falcon) is the source of this 599-nucleotide long non-coding RNA. RefSeq lists it as uncharacterized. The transcript has 3 exons. The record is from RefSeq and is a predicted model, not a curated record. NCBI's taxonomy places the organism in Eukaryota, Metazoa, Chordata, Aves, Falconiformes, Falconidae.
GGGGUACCGGCCUCCUCCGCCCCGGGGGACCAGCCUCUCCCCCCCCCCCCCCCCGCCGCCCCGGGAGCAGAGGCGGGCGCGGGGCGAAGCCCAGCUUCUCCGCGCCGGCAGCGGCCUCCACCCCUGCCCAGCAGCCUAUCACUCCAGGGAUGGACUGCCUGCUUGCCUGUUCCCACCAGACCAAGGAGUGCAGCUCUGGGAACAACUGCUGAGGCAUCCUGGGGUAGGGGGAGCAUCGGGGGCCCGGAGCCCCGGAGCACACUCACUCCUGGAACUUACGUGUGUGACUAAAUAACCGCUCACCGUCUCCGUUGCCCUCCUGGCUGUGCUUGCACUGCCUUUGCACCAGGUUCUAACAAAGGGGUGGCCCUGGAGGAUGAAGGAAAACCAGCUGGAGGCCAGCGAUUCCAGGCCAGGGAAGAGUAAGAGGCUGAGCUGACCUGGUUUAAGGCUGUAGUGGGGACUGCAAGGGGGACCUCUGGCCAGCUGUGUGGAGCACCGGGUGGAUUUGCAGACCCUCGAGACCACCAAAGACCCCUGCUCGGGACAACGGGGCAUGCACCAGGGGAAAAGAGAAUAUUAUCAUUAGUUUUGGGUAA